UAAGAUUUGUUGCGGUAAGAAGUUUGC
RNAcentral lists this small RNA (27 nucleotides) under Bombyx mori (domestic silkworm). RNAcentral describes it as "piRNA piR-bmo-1429231". Lineage: Eukaryota; Metazoa; Arthropoda; Insecta; Lepidoptera; Bombycidae. The record is from RNAcentral.